UUAAUUGAAGAGUUUGAUCAUGGCUCAGAUUGAACGCUGGCGGCAGGCCUAACACAUGCAAGUCGAGCGGCAGCACAGAGGAACUUGUUCCUUGGGUGGCGAGCGGCGGACGGGUGAGUAAUGCCUGGGAAAUUGCCCGGUAGAGGGGGGAUAACCAUUGGAAACGAUGGCUAAUACCGCAUAACCUCGCAAG
This 193-nucleotide ribosomal RNA is filed under the name Vibrio cholerae O1 biovar El Tor str. N16961. RNAcentral's name for it is "partial 16S ribosomal RNA". It matches the Rfam family "Bacterial small subunit ribosomal RNA", at positions 1 to 185 of the family's 1533-position model. The record is from RNAcentral. Lineage: Bacteria; Pseudomonadati; Pseudomonadota; Gammaproteobacteria; Vibrionales; Vibrionaceae.